GCAGAUAUAGUUUAACGAAAAUGUCGGAUUGUGAUUCCGUAGACAGGGGUUAAAGUCCCCUUAUCCGCC
Molecule: transfer RNA, 69 nt
Filed under: Hyperlophus vittatus (sandy sprat)
Lineage: Eukaryota; Metazoa; Chordata; Actinopteri; Clupeiformes; Clupeidae
Description: tRNA-His
Rfam family: tRNA
About the family: Transfer RNA (tRNA) molecules are approximately 80 nucleotides in length. Their secondary structure includes four short double-helical elements and three loops (D, anti-codon, and T loops).
Source: RNAcentral